RNAcentral lists this ribosomal RNA (408 nucleotides) under uncultured bacterium. Its description in RNAcentral is "partial 16S ribosomal RNA". It matches the Rfam family "Bacterial small subunit ribosomal RNA", at positions 28 to 526 of the family's 1533-position model. The record is from RNAcentral.
GACGAACGCUGGCGGCGUGAUUAACACAUGCAAGUCGAACGAAGUGGCGAACGGGUGAGUAACGCGUAAUCCACCUGCCAUUCAGAGGGGGACAACAGUUGGACACGACUGCUAAUACCGCAUACUGAAGGAGGGAAUUGCGUCUGAUUAGCUAGUUGGAGGGGUCACGGCCCACAAAGGCGAGAAUAAGUAGCCGGUCUGAGAGGAGGAACGGCAACAUUGGGACUGAGACACGGCCCAGACUCCUACGGGAGGCAGCAGUGGGGAAUCUUCCGCAAUGGACGAAAGUCUGACGGAGCAACGCCGCGUGAGUGAUGACGGCCUUCGGGUUGUAAAGCUCUGUUAAUCGGGACGCGGUACCGGAAUAGAAAGCCACGGCUAACUACGUGCCAGCAGCCGCGGUAAUAC